RNAcentral lists this microRNA (22 nucleotides) under Ciona intestinalis (vase tunicate). RNAcentral's name for it is "cin-miR-4048-5p". Lineage: Eukaryota; Metazoa; Chordata; Ascidiacea; Phlebobranchia; Cionidae. The record is from miRBase by way of RNAcentral.
GCACCUUGGUCACCAUUAUUUG